Long non-coding RNA from Raphanus sativus (radish), 680 nucleotides. RefSeq lists it as uncharacterized. The record is from RefSeq and is a predicted model, not a curated record. The transcript has 5 exons. Lineage: Eukaryota; Viridiplantae; Streptophyta; Magnoliopsida; Brassicales; Brassicaceae.
GGGAAAUUUUAUUUUUACACUUUCAUUGGUACCACUUUUCAACUUUACCACCAAUCAAAAGACAUUUUCAUAAAUACCACAUUGAUUAAUAAGAUAUCCAUUGCCUCCGUCGAGAUCUAACCUAACCUCCGUGCUUCCGUCGAGAUCUAUCGUCGAUGGAUUCUCCUCUCUCUCCACCGGAUUCUCUCUCUCUCUCUCUCUCUCUCUCUCUCUCUCACGCCGUCGAUUUUCUCAGCUCUGGAUUGACACUACUUCUUGGUUGGUUUUGGUGGUGGAUGUUAAACCCAGCUUGCUCUUUGGAGAGUCUGAGAGAUUCUUGCUCAAAGACUCACUCGUAUGGGUGAUGUCGUUCUUGUGAAAGAUGAUGCUGUACUGGACACUGAAUUCAAAAUGAUUGGACUUGAAACACUGAUAGGUUACAGAGUAGUGACACCAGGAGGGCGUAACAUCGGAAAAGUGGUUUAUAUUCUUCCUACAUCUUUAUUCAGUCUCUUUGCCAUUAGAUUGUUUAUUAACUGUAGAAGAAGCACAUGGUUUUUUUUUCAGGUUCGAGGUUACUCAUUCAACAUUAACUCUGGAAUAGUGGUUUAUGGUCUUUCAAUCUAUUUAUGUAUUCUUGAAUGGAUUAAUUGUGUUUGCAAGAAAGAAGUAUCUAUAAUGAUUAAUAAACUUAUUUAUGC